Pelobates cultripes (western spadefoot toad) is the source of this 212-nucleotide non-coding RNA. Lineage: Eukaryota; Metazoa; Chordata; Amphibia; Anura; Pelobatidae. The record is from the annotation of a GenBank genome assembly.
GGAACGCAGAGCGGCCAGUGACGUCAUCAGGCGGCGCCGCCCACACAGUGAGCAGCACGUGGGCUCAGACUCAGCGAUCGCAAUGUCUCCGCCGGACCUCGCCAUCCAGCUCGCCCAGAGACUGGCCGCCAAUGACAAGAAAACCCGGGACCGGGCCGUCCGCAAACUGCGGGGAUACCUGAGGGCCCGGAGCGGGGCUGCCACCGGCGGUG